CCUGCCAGUCUUAUAUGCUUGUUUCAAAGAUUAAGCCAUGCAUGUGAAAGUUCAGCAAAAUGUAAUGUGAAACUGCGGAAGGCUCAAUAAAUCGGUUCUAAUCUGUAUGAGUGAGAGUUUUAAAAGGAUAACUGCGCUAAUUGUGCAGCUAAUACUUGCAAAGAGGAGUGGGAAGCGAUUUCUGCUCUGCAUUUAUUGGAAUUGUAAAACCAACGGGUCGGGGCAACUCGGCCUUGUUUUAAGGAAUUACGAUAAAGAACGCGGAUCGCAGAGGGCUGCAAAAAGCCGGCGACGAUUCAUGUGAAUUUCCGCCCUAUCAAUUUGAUUGUAGGAUAGAGGCCUACAAUGAUGACGACGGGUAACGGGGAAUUGGGGUUCGAUUCCGGAGAGAGAGCCUGAGAGACGGCUGUCACUUCUAAGGAAGGCAGCAGGCGCGCAAAUUACCCAAUCGAGAGUUUCGGAGGUAGUGACGAUACAUAUCAAUGUGAGAACCAUUUGGUUAGCACAAUUGGAAUGAGAACAGAGUAAAUAGAUUAGCGAGAAGCAAUGAAGAGGGCAAGUCUGGUGCCAGCAGCCGCGGUAAUUCCAGCUCUUCUAGCGUAUGUUAAAAUUGUUGCCGUCAAAAAGCUCGUAGUUGGAUUUGGAGGUGAGUGAUGUACGUGGUUGUGGUGGCCAGUAGGCUGCUUCUGACCACAAUUCACCUGGAGAUUCGGAGCGAGUGGAAACAUUUGCUUCGAAAAUUACUUUGAAAAAAACAGAGCGCUCAAAGCAGGCAAGCUUAACUAAUUGCCUUUGAAUGGCUAGCAUUGAAUAAUGGAAUAGGACCUUGUAACUAUUUUGUUGGUUUAUAGAUUAUUAGGUAAUGAUUAAAAGGGAUGAGCGGGGUGACUGCUAUCAAAAAGCUAGAGGUGAAAUUCUUGGAUUUUUUUGAGAGCAACAAGUGCGAAAGCAUUUCACAAGGGCAUCUCCAUUGAUCAAGAACGAAAGAAUGAGGAUCGAAGAUGAUCAGAUACCGUCGUAGUUCAUUCUAUAAAUUACCAGCCAGAGAUUGCAAAAUGGUGAAAUUUAAAAAUGCCGUUUGCAGGAGCUUGAGAGAAAUCAUUGAGCUUUUGGGUUCGGGGGAAAUUAUGGUUGCAAGGCUGAAACUUAAAGGA
RNAcentral lists this ribosomal RNA (1154 nucleotides) under uncultured soil eukaryote. RNAcentral's name for it is "SSU rRNA". It matches the Rfam family "Eukaryotic small subunit ribosomal RNA", at positions 13 to 1151 of the family's 1831-position model. The record is from RNAcentral.